UACGACUACAUAUCAGGCAUAUCAAUAAGCGGAGGAAAAGAAACUAACAAGGAUUCCCUUAGUAACGGCGAGUGAAGCGGGAAGAGCUCAAAUUCGAAAUCUUCAAGGUUCUACCUUGACGAAUUGUAGUUUAAAGAAGUGUUUUCUGUUAGAUGAGUAGCAAAAGUUCCUUGGAAUGGGACAUCAUAGAGGGUGAGAAUCCCGUAUUGGUUAUUCAUUCUAGCUUUGUGAUACACUUUCAAAGAGUCGGAUUGUUUGGGAAUGCAGUCCAAAAUGGGUGGUAAAUUUCAUCUAAAGCUAAAUAUUGGCGAGAGACCGAUAGCGAACAAGUACCGUGAGGGAAAGAUGAAAAGAACUUUGAAAAGAGAGUUAAACAGUACGUGAAAUUGUCAAAAGGGAAGCGUUUGACACCAGUGUUGUUUUUCCGAAAAUCAAUUACGAAUGGCUUGAUUUUGUGUUGUAUUGACCUUAUCAGCUUUCUUCACUUUUUUCGAGUCUUUCUUAAUGCACUUUUCGGUUAACAAGUCAACAUCAAUUUCUUUUGUUGUAAAAGAGUAUUCGGAAGGUGGCUUUCUUUUCGGAGAAAGUGUUUAUAGCCCUAUACUUCUACAAUCGGAGAGAUUGAGGUCUGCAGCGUAGAUCCUUCGGGGUUAGAUACACUUGUGCUAAGUUGUAGCUUUUCAUAGACAACUUGUUGACUAUGUUUAGUCAUGCGGCUUACUCGCUUAUGCUAUUUUACCUACGCUUAGGAUGUUGAGUAGCGACAUACGCAC
RNAcentral lists this ribosomal RNA (773 nucleotides) under uncultured Neocallimastigales. RNAcentral describes it as "partial large subunit ribosomal RNA". It matches the Rfam family "Eukaryotic large subunit ribosomal RNA", at positions 24 to 649 of the family's 3401-position model. Lineage: Eukaryota; Fungi; Neocallimastigomycota; Neocallimastigomycetes; Neocallimastigales. The record is from RNAcentral.